GCGCGCGUAGCUCAGCGGUUAGAGCAACGGACUUAUAAUUCGUGGGUCCCUGGUUCGAAUCCAGGCGCGCGCA
This 73-nucleotide transfer RNA is filed under the name Candidatus Wildermuthbacteria bacterium RIFCSPHIGHO2_02_FULL_47_12. RNAcentral's name for it is "tRNA-Ile". It matches the Rfam family "tRNA". From Rfam's summary of the family: Transfer RNA (tRNA) molecules are approximately 80 nucleotides in length. Their secondary structure includes four short double-helical elements and three loops (D, anti-codon, and T loops). Further hydrogen bonds mediate the characteristic L-shaped molecular structure. tRNAs have two regions of fundamental functional importance: the anti-codon, which is responsible for specific mRNA codon recognition, and the 3' end, to which the tRNAs corresponding amino acid is attached (by aminoacyl-tRNA synthetases). tRNAs cope with the degeneracy of the genetic code in two manners: having more than one tRNA (with a specific anti-codon) for a particular amino acid; and 'wobble' base-pairing, i.e. permitting non-standard base-pairing at the 3rd anti-codon position. Lineage: Bacteria; Candidatus Wildermuthiibacteriota. The record is from RNAcentral.